Molecule: ribosomal RNA, 223 nt
Filed under: uncultured bacterium
Lineage: Bacteria
Description: partial 16S ribosomal RNA
Rfam family: Bacterial small subunit ribosomal RNA
Source: RNAcentral
UAACGCGUGGAUAACCUGCCUCACACAGGGGGAUAACAGUUAGAAAUGACUGCUAAUACCGCAUAAGCGCACGGCAUCGCAUGAUGCAGUGUGAAAAACUCCGGUGGUGUGAGAUGGAUCCGCGUCUGAUUAGGUAGUUGGUGGGGUAACGGCCUACCAAGCCGACGACCAGUAGCCGACCUGAGAGGGUGACCGGCCACAUUGGGACUGAGACACGGCCCAA